GACGAACCGUGCAAACGUUGUUCGGAAUCACUGGGCUUAAAGGGCGCGUAGGCGGACUCGCCAGUCUGUGGUGAAAGCCCCCAGCUUAACUGGGGAAGUGCCGUGGAUACUGCGAGUCUGGAGGAGGGUAGGGGCAUCUGGAACGCUGGGUGGAGCGGUGAAAUGCGUUGAUAUCCAGCGGAACUCCGGUGGCGAAGGCGAGGUGCUGGACCCUUUCUGACGCUGAGGCGCGAAAGCCAGGGGAGCAAACGGG
RNAcentral lists this ribosomal RNA (253 nucleotides) under uncultured bacterium. RNAcentral's name for it is "partial 16S ribosomal RNA". It matches the Rfam family "Bacterial small subunit ribosomal RNA", at positions 524 to 776 of the family's 1533-position model. The record is from RNAcentral.